This 253-nucleotide ribosomal RNA is filed under the name uncultured bacterium. Its description in RNAcentral is "partial 16S ribosomal RNA". It matches the Rfam family "Bacterial small subunit ribosomal RNA", at positions 524 to 776 of the family's 1533-position model. The record is from RNAcentral.
UACGGAGGGGGCUAGCGUUGUUCGGAAUUACUGGGCGUAAAGCGCACGUAGGCGGUUUUGUAAGUUAGAGGUGAAAGCCCGGGGCUCAACUCUGGAAUUGCCUUUAAGACUGCAUCGCUAGAGUUGUGGAGAAGUAAGUGGAAUUCCGAGUGUAGAGGUGAAAUUCGUAGAUAUUCGGAAGAACACCAGUGGCGAAGGCGACUUACUGGACACAUAUUGACGCUGAGGUGCGAAAGCGUGGGGAGCAAACAGG